UAUGGCUCAGUGGCACAGUGCCUGCCUGGCAAGCACAAGGUUAUGAGUUCAAUUCUCAUUA
This 61-nucleotide transfer RNA is filed under the name Cavia porcellus (domestic guinea pig). It matches the Rfam family "tRNA", at positions 6 to 65 of the family's 71-position model. Rfam says of the family: Transfer RNA (tRNA) molecules are approximately 80 nucleotides in length. Their secondary structure includes four short double-helical elements and three loops (D, anti-codon, and T loops). Further hydrogen bonds mediate the characteristic L-shaped molecular structure. tRNAs have two regions of fundamental functional importance: the anti-codon, which is responsible for specific mRNA codon recognition, and the 3' end, to which the tRNAs corresponding amino acid is attached (by aminoacyl-tRNA synthetases). tRNAs cope with the degeneracy of the genetic code in two manners: having more than one tRNA (with a specific anti-codon) for a particular amino acid; and 'wobble' base-pairing, i.e. permitting non-standard base-pairing at the 3rd anti-codon position. Lineage: Eukaryota; Metazoa; Chordata; Mammalia; Rodentia; Caviidae. The record is from Rfam by way of RNAcentral.